UACAGAGGGUGCGAGCGUUAAUCGGAAUUACUGGGCGUAAAGCGUGCGUAGACGGUUAUUUAAGUCGGGUGUGAAAGCCCCGGGCUCAACCUGGGAAUUGCAUUCGAGACUGAAUAGCUAGGGUACGGUAGAGGGAAGCGGAAUUUCCGGUGUAGCGGUGAAAUGCGUAGAUAUCGGAAGGAACAUCAGUGGCGAAAGCGGCUUCCUGGACCAGUACCGACGUUCAGGCACGAAAGCGUGGGAGCAAACAGG
RNAcentral lists this ribosomal RNA (252 nucleotides) under uncultured bacterium. RNAcentral describes it as "partial 16S ribosomal RNA". It matches the Rfam family "Bacterial small subunit ribosomal RNA", at positions 524 to 776 of the family's 1533-position model. The record is from RNAcentral.